This is a non-coding RNA of Manis javanica (Malayan pangolin), 4256 nucleotides long. The record is from RefSeq and is a predicted model, not a curated record. NCBI's taxonomy places the organism in Eukaryota, Metazoa, Chordata, Mammalia, Pholidota, Manidae.
CCGGAUCCCCCAUCCGAAGUAGUCGUCAUGGAAACCCCGAGACCGCGCGAGCCUCCAGUUUAAAGGGACCGAGGGGGCUCCAAGACUCCGUGUGUCUAGCCCGGCACAGUCCAGGACAACGGGCGAUGGAGGCGGGAGGACUGCCCGAAGGAGGCGGUGUCUGGGCGGAACCUCUAGAGCCGCUGCGGGCGGGAGUAAAGCAAUACUCGGCUAGAGCCUCGUGGCGCUGGGGCCUGGGGUGGCCCUGGGCGGAUCCGCAGGCUGCGGUCGAUGCACGCGAGGGGCUGGGAGGCUACUGAAAGCGAAGGCCAAGCUGACCAUCCCUGCCCUCCACACACCCUCGAGCCCCUGGCCGCGCCCUCGCCACGACCGUGCGCCCUACCGAGGGGACCGCGCCGCCGCCGCCGCCGCGGAGCCGCUGGAUGUCGCGGGAGGGCGCUGGGCGGUCACGGGGCUGUCGGGGUCCUGCGUGCGGGAGCCAGGUGCCCCCCGCCCCACCGCCGGGGCUGGUGUCCCCCCGCCCCGGCCCGCCUUCCUCCGCUUCCCGGGCGCCCAGGAUUUUCCCUCUCCCGUGGUCCUUCUCUUCGGCAAACGGGCUGGUUUCUUUCACACCCAAACGAAACGGACUUCCGCGCCCGCAGCCCCCGCACCUCCCCUCGCUGUCCAGUUCCUUUGAUAUGCACCACAUCUUUAUCCAUUCAUCCAUCCAUGGGCAUUUAGGUUGCUUCCAUGUCUUGCUAUUGUGAAUAAUGCUGCAGUGAACAUGGGGGUUCAGAUCUCUUUCCGAGAUAGUGGUUUAGUUUCCCCCCACCGAGCCCGCUCCUGCCCCGCCGCGCCCUUGAGCUGCCCUGGCCCACCCGCAGACCCCAGGGACCAGUCCACAGACCUCCCACGUGCCAUCAGCGGCGCGAGGUCCCCCCCCUCCGCGCUGCACGGUGCCCCUUCGCGGCGCUGCCAGGCAGGCCUCUGCGCCCGCCUCUGCAGGGCCACGUCUUGGGCCUCUUCUCCACCUACACCCCAUCCUUUGUGACUGAACUCAACUGCGGUUGUGAAGGCCAGCCGUGUAGCUCCAGGUUCGCGUGUCCAGCUGCCCGCACAUCUCCACUAGGAGAAGAGGCCUCAAAGACAGGCAGCCCAACACGGAGCUAACGUCACCCUCCACUGCCGCCGCUCCCCCGGAAAACUCAGCGCUGCCCACAGCUUUACCCCUCUCGGCGGAGGGCCGUGCAUCCCUGCAGAUGCUCAGAGGAAACCCACGUUCACCCCCUCGGAAAUCCUGGCUGCUCACACUCAGAGCCACCAGCAUCUCUCUCCCGCGCCUGCUGCCCUCACCCGGGUCCUCCACCGUGCAGUCUCCCUGCUGCCUGCCUCGUGGUGGUCCAGUCUCCAGAAGAAAACCAGAAGGACCUUUUUUAUAACCCGUUUUGAAUUGUAAAAGUUCCCCGUGUGGGACGUGCCCGCAAUGCCCUCCUCUUCAAGACUGAGUAAUAUUCCCAUCUGGGUGGACGACCUCGUGCUCAGCCACUCCUCUGCAGCCUUCCACAGACCCCACCGCACCUGCGACCGUCAAGCCCUAACGCGGCAGGGAUGCAGAGCACCUGCGACUUCCCCGCCCAGCCACACCAGCCCCGAACCCUCCUGCCGCGGACCCUCUGCCACUCCUGCCCCAGGGCCUUCGCUCAAGCCGGGCCCCACGGACAGCCGCGGGCUUCUCCCUCCCUGCUUUGCCUCUCCGGGAAAGCCGGCCCACCCGCCCAGCAAGGCGGCUGCCGGCCUGCCUCAUCUGUGCCUAUGUCAGUCGGCUCCGGCUCCGGCUGCUGCAACAAAAUCCCACAGACCUGGGGGCUUCAAGGCUGUGAGACUGCAGUCAGGUCUGAGCCGGUUUGGCCUCUGGUGACAGCCAGCCUCUGAGUGUCCUCGCAGGGCUUUUCCUUAGGGGGUGCACCCUGGUGUGGGGAGGCGUGUUUUCUGGUGUCUCUUUCCUUUUUUUUAUUCAAUUUACUUAAAAUUAAAAAGAUUGUCCGUUUUCCCUUCCCCUUCCUCCCUCCUCUGGAAGGGAAACAGCAUUUUCUCUGUACCUCUGACCUUGGCUUUCUUUUAGGUCCCACAUAUUAGUGGGAUCAUAUGGUGUUGUCUCAGCUUCAUACCCUCUAGGGCCAUCCGUGCUGUCACAGAUGGGAAGAUUUCAUUCUUUUUCAUGGCUGAGUAAUAUUCCAUUUUGAUAUGCACCACAUCUUUAUCCAUUCAUCCAUCCAUGGGCAUUUAGGUUGCUUCCAUGUCUUGCUAUUGUGAAUAAUGCUGCAGUGAACAUGGGGGUUCAGAUCUCUUUCCGAGAUAGUGGUUUAGUUUCCUCUGGAUAGGUACCCAGAAGUGGAAUUACUGAAUCAUAUGGUACUUUUAUUUUUGAUUUUUUGAGGAACCUCACACUGCCUUCCAUAGUGGCUGCAGCAAUAAGCAUUCCCACCAACAGUGUAGGAGGGUUCCCUUUCUCCAUGUCCUCCCCAACACGUGUUAUUUAUCAUCACUCUGAUAACAGCCAUUCAUCAGGUAUGAGGUGGUAUCUCAUGGUGGUGGUGCCUCUUCUCUAAGGACACUAAUCCUGUCAUUUAACUUUCAUUUCUCCCUUAGAGGCCCAUCUGCAGAUACAGCAACAUGGGGUGGCGGGGUGUUACAGCCUCAGCAUCUGAACUUGGGGGCACAAUUCAGGGCACAGUACCCUGCCUCCACAGCCCCCUGACCCUGCCUGUACUUAUUUUUUCCCUACACUUCCCACCUUCACACUCACUGUAUAGAAUGUGUCAAUUGUCCAUUGUGUCCAGGGUUCAGGUGGGUGGCAAUUUUGCCCUCAGACACAUUUAGAAAUAUCUGUACCUGGAGACAUUUUGGGUUGUCAUGGAUGGCAUCAAGGUGCUACCGAAUCUAGUGGGCAGAGGCUUGGGGUGCUGCCCAACACCCUGCAGUGCACAGGAAUGGCGCACCCCAAAUGGCUGACACACCGUGGGUGAGAAAGCCCCAUCGGCACCUUCCCGCUGGGACGCCAGGCCCUUGGGGCAGCAGCCUGCAUCUCUUCUGCUCUCCGCAGCAUCUGGCUCCACCCUGGGACCAGAAGUUGGGCGGAGUGAAAGCAGGAGGCCCAGGUGAGCAGGACCAGCCUGUGCAGGCUCAGGGGCAUGGGCCGCAUGGCCAGGCCUGGGAGGAGCUGCCUUCAACAGGGCUCGGGAGAGGUGGGACAGGGGGUCACUUCAUCAGGAAGCCACUGCAGCCCCCAGGAGGCCGGAGGCAGAUGGCAGCAGAAACAGAGCUGGCUGGUGACUGGACAUGCCCGUGGCUGCGUGGAAGGAAGAGCCAACAGAUGUGGAACCACUUUCAGAGAUGAGGAACAGGUGCAGGGAGUGGUGGCCGAUUCUGUCAGAAAUGGAGGUGAGAGGCGUGGGAUCCCCAGGCCCAGGCUCAGAGCCAAGGUCCCGCUGGUGGUUGAAGUGAGGGCAUUGCCGGCGUUACAUACGGACUGUAUACUGACACCAGGAACCUCUAAGUUCAUGCCUCAGUGCUCACACCCACUUUCCAGGGCCCUCACCCCUGGCCAACCACUCCAGCUGCUGCCUGUCUGGGACCAAGCUGUGGGGCUGGGGUGCUGAACGCCAUCUCAAGGGUCUGGGAGAUGCCGGAUCUGCUGUCUCACACUGGCCUUGGGCUCGGCCUGGGUGGUGUCUCGGAGCCUUCUCCUUCCAGAGCAGGUGUCUUCGCCCUCACUGACCACCCCCCUUACCCCUUGUUCACCUCACCAGAGGUACGGGGAGGCGGAGCCCAUAACAAUCACAGAGGGACACAGGUCUGAGGGAAGGAAGGAGGCCAAGGAGACGUCAAGUCUGACGGGAGGGUGGGGGGAUUUGGGGGCAUGGGCCCAAGGGGCAGUGGCAGAAUUUGGUCUUGGUCAUGUCUGGGUGACCCAGAUGAGACUUUGACAGUAGAAAAGGGCUGGGAGAGGAAGUGAGAGCCAGGGCUGUGCGGCUUCACUGUUUAGCUAGUUAGGCUCUGGAAUCUAGUGCACACACAGCACACAUUUAGCAGGACAGGGAGACCUAGUCCACCAAAUCCUAACCCACAGGCCUAAGCUGAUAUGUGUGUUGCAGGGGGAAGGGGGAGAGAAAACCCACCCCUAACUGGCUUGUAAGUCCAGGGGGAGGAAAUCCUGGGGCAAAAUACCUCUAAAAACUGAAAUCAGUCAAAGGGAGAAAUAAAGUUUAUAACCUGUU